UUCCCCAAGCGCCGCCCCGCGCUCCGGGCAGUGCUCCGCGGGGGAACCGGCUCUGCAGACGGGCGGGGGCAAAGCGACGCUGUGGGUUCUCCGCGAGCGGUUCUGCGCUGCCGGGGUGGGUGUCUGGCGUGGGUGCUCCCACGGUGCUGGGGAUGCAAGGCACGGAUGGGCGCUGGCAGAUGUCCCUGGAGCCCCCACGUUGGACUGAACAGCGAUUUAAUACCAUUUCUGCAUCUCUUCAAGCACCAAAGGAGUGAAGCAGGGGCCUGGAGAAAUCGAGGCACGGCGAGGGGUGAGGACAGUGGGCAGACGGCGGGGGAUACUUCCAGGAGGGAGGAUGGAGACGGAUGAUGUCCUACCCGUUACUGGGGGCUCGCCAUCGGGCAUCCACGGGGGCUGGAGCUUGCCUUGGGCAUGAAGCCUCGUGGAGGGAGGUGGGCUGUGCUGUGAACCCCACCUUGGGGCACAGAGUUCUGGGGACAGAGCCCAGGGGACUUGUCUGGAGGGUGCCAGCCAGGCCGGGAGCUGCUUUGUCCUCACGGCAGCUGGCAAGGAUCAUUGACAGCAGUUUUUGCUGGCAACAGGACUGACCUCACCAUCCCGAGGGACUUAUGGGCUCCAAGGGGUCUGGCCCAGCCCAACAGGGACUUGUUUUUUGCCAACCAAUUCCCCAUGGAUAUAACUCUGUCCUAACCUUGAGCUUGCACCUCAGGGAGGCAUCACUCCUCACACUUGGGGCAGUUUAAUUAGCACUGAGACCUCUGUCCCUGCUUAAACCUUCUGGAACUUGCCAAGAAAUUGCAGGGAGGGCACAGGAUGACCAGCUGGGCAGAUAACAUGGUUGAGUCUCAUUUUCCCAUAGCAGACCUAUGAGGAGAGCCAAGAUGCUGUGAUUUGGAGCACUGCACUUUCCAGAAAGGCUUCCCUGGCCACUGUGGGUACAAAGAAAUGCUCAGAGGGGCAAAACCUGCCCCAGCCCUGAUGCUUUUGGCUUGGGAACUGCAGCACUCGCAGCUGAUUCUGGCUGAGAUUUGGGCUCAGCCGCUUCCCCGGCUGCUGCCAUGACACAGUCCAGCGUUUGUAAACAGCCCGAGGUUCCUCAGCAAGGUGUCAUGGGAGGAAAUAGCUGGAUGCCGGGGAGUGCAGCGUCCUGACCUGCCCCUCACCCUUCUUGGUGACUAACCCGCUCCCAAUUUCCGCUCAGGAAGGCAUGAGUCGUGUUGGGAGGAUGUGAGAGCAGCUGUCCCAUUGCUCCUGGCAGGUGCCAUGGGAUGAUGAAGCUGCUUUGGGCUCUGUCCUCACCAUGCUGCAUCCGCCCAAGGCCCUGUGACCCUGUGCCACAGGGAUCCCCCUUCGACCUGCCAGCCUGUGCUUUAAGUAGGAGUGGAAUGUCCAUCCAGGCUCUGCUGGCAAUGCUCGUGUUGUGAGGAAAGGGGUGAGAGAGACUUCAUCGCAAGGUGUCGGGGCCACCAAUGGGUGCAGGAAGGGUUGGGGAAGGGCUGUGCACAGCGGGAAUGCCAAGGGCUGGGGGCUGCAGCCAGGUUUGUCUCAGAUGGUGAAUGGGACUGACACAGGCUCAGCCUCUGUGAUGGCAGGGGAGACACAGGGCUUUUCCAUCUCUGGUCUGCGGGGACUCCCCAGACCUGGCACUGUAGCACCCUUGGAUGCCCACUCCAUGCCGUGACCAGCGCGGUGCCAACACCAGCCCCAGGCGGGUCCCUUUGCUCUCCACAGCCACAGGCUGACUGAACCCGGUCCCACACGGACACCACUCGUUUGCCUCCAGAUGUGAUGUCUAAUGCAGAAGUGGGAUCACUUCCUUCCCCGUGCUGAUAACCACAGGGAAGGAAGGGGCUAUCUUAAUUAUGAGAGCCUUAACGAGGCCCCUCGACCCCAAGGGCAGCCCGAAGGGUGCUCAGCAGCUCCCAGGCUGUGGGCAGGCGACUGCUGGUCGGGUUUGUCCUGAUCGGCUCCAUUCCCGCCCUCGCGGCGCUGCUCAGGCCGUGUGUGUGGGAGGGAAGUGCCGGGAUGUGACAUGGGGAUGUGGCACGGAGCAGCUGUGAUGGGGGGACAGCCCGUGGAGAAUCCCCCCACUUCCUUCCUCACUGCAAAGGGGACUCGCCCAUGGAGCAGAGCAUCCAGUCCAGCCCUGACCUCCAGUCUCCCUUCAAAAGCAAACACCCCUCCAGCUUCUGUCCCGGCAGGAGCCCUGGGGUAUCCCAGAUGCCGCAGACAACAUUUGGUGGAGAAGGUUUGUAUAUUUGAAGCACCAUGCCCUGGGUUCGCUGGGCAAGGUGAUGGUGCCGAGUUUGGGGAAACUGAGGCAGAAACAGCAGACAAGGUUUGUCUUGAGUUGUGCAAGAAGCCAGGGGUUAAAUACACCAAAAACCUCCCUCUGGCCCUCCUGCUCCUGCCCCCAGCUGUUGCAGGAGCUGAUCUGUGCUGGGAGUUACCCUGGGGGAAGAAAAGCACAGAGCCUGGGGGCUUCCCACACCUUCCAUAACCCUUCAUGCCCCUGCUGCAGCAGAGACCUGGGGCUCUCGGUGCCAGGGCAGGCCUGGAUUUCGGGGUCUCACUGCCACAUCACAGCCCCAGAGGAGGCAUGCAGAGGACGUGUCUCUGUUGCAAGAUGAACUGCAGCGUUUCCCUUCGAGGCACACAGCUCCUCCACAUCCCUGCCCGCUCUGCCGCGUCCGCCGGCAGCCACCCGGGGACGGCAACGGGAGGGGGAUGCACUCCUCCCGAAUCCAUCUCUUUUAGCAUCGUUCCCACUGCUGAAGGUACAUGUCUCAAGGUGGAGCCAGAAAUAGCGCGGCUGGCGCUGCAUCGGGGCUGGCAGGGCUGCAGGCUUGGCAGGGGGACAGGCACCGACUGCAGCAGUGGGAACUUUCCAGGCAGCUCCUGCGGGAGCGGAGCUGUUUCUGUGCAGACCCAGCCCCUGGACUGUGGAUCAGCCCCUCUCAGCCGUGAGGCUGGGGCUGACAUGGGGGGACCAGCACAGAGCAGGAGGAACAGAGGUAACAGGGAUAUCUCCUGGAGGAGAGUGACUGCGAUCACAUCCCACCUGAGCUAGGACACAGGUCUGGGCUCUACCACUGAUCUGCUGCAGAACUCGGGAAAGUGGCUUCUACCUGCUUCCAUGACCCAGGGGUGGCAGGUUUCCCUCAAAAUCCAGCUUCUCUCGGGGCCCAGGGAGGAUCUCAGCCUCCAAGGAGCUCAGGUUUUUUGUGGCAGCUCCUAAAUCACAGCCAGGCUCUGGAGCUCGGGGGCUGCUCCCCAGCGCUGACCCUCCGCUGAGCUCUCAGCAGCUGCCGGCACAGCCUGGGACCGCAGGGGUCACCGGCAGGCCCUGAACAAUGCCGACGAGCUGAGCUCAUUCUUCCCAGCUGAUAAUUUGCUUAAAAAUAUUUCUGAGCUCAGGCCUCCUCAGGGAAAACACUCCCAAACGCCGGGCAGAAAGCUGCUGAGUCUGGAGGAACCACACACCCACCACUCGCUCGCCGAGACGUCCCCCCGAUGACAAGCCCUGGCGUCAGAGGGACUGAGGCCAAAGUCUGCCGUUUGAUCUCCCCCUUCGCUGGGGGAAGCCGAAUUUCAGGCCGUCCAAGGGUUUUACCACUUCCCGGUAGCGGUUUCCUGCCAUGAUGUGAGUGCAGGAAUUUUUGGGAGGUGAGUCAGAGGCUGCAAUGAGAACCACCUGGUUGGGGCUGGGCUGGGAGGCUCGAUCCCGAUCUAGGGGUGAUCCCUGCUGCGAUGCUCGGUGCCUGCAUUCCCAGAGUGGAAUUACUUCCUUGGGACACAACAUCCCAUCACAGACCCCAUUUCUGGCCUGGAAAAGAAGAGGGAUUUGCUGCCUGAGUUCCCACGGCUCCUCCUUCUUUGCCGGGCUGGGAUCGGUACACUCCGGCCACCCCACCCGGGCUCCAGGGAGAAGCUUGGGUAAGAAUAAAGAGCAAAACCUCAUCCAGCUCUGCAGGAAGCCGCUGGAAUGGCUGUCCCGCCCCAGCACCGGGUUGUCCCGAGCACGGAACUGCUCCAAAGCAGCACCGAGGCUUGGGUUUCCCUGGGGAGCAAUGCGGGAGUUGGCGGAGCUGAGAAACUGCCCUCCCUGGUCUCUGAAAUUCAACAUACAGAAUGAGCUCCUGCUGAAGGAACCUCCCAGGUUUUGCCUCCUGGGCUAUUAAAGCUCCAUGACCCCGUGCCCACUCUCUCCCCAGCAUUACUCAAACCCCUCUGCGCAGAGAAUAAGUGAGUCGAGUCCAGAGAGUGAGACUGAGCCGGGAUAAGCCUUUGGAAAGGAGCUAAACCUGCUCAAAGCCGGCACUGUUCCCUGACCCGCCCUCCUAAUCCUGCCUGGCUGAUAAUGGAAUAAUAAAGGGCUGCACAGCCUCGCUCUCUGCUGCUCUGUGGGGGAGGUUCCUGCUGCCUCUGUACAUGCCAGGAGCUGGGAUAUUAAUGACUCCCUAAGUAAACAGAAUCGCUCCUUU
Molecule: non-coding RNA, 4487 nt
Organism: Cyanistes caeruleus (blue tit)
Lineage: Eukaryota; Metazoa; Chordata; Aves; Passeriformes; Paridae
Source: RefSeq, a predicted model, not a curated record